CAUACACUUAGCAAUAGAGCUUGCACACGGCCCGAGUGUUUCUUUAAAAAGUUAGCAAUCUAAUACCCAUCAAAGCAAGUUAUUUGCUGAACUGGAAAUCUUAAACCUGAAUGAAACUGAAAUCCUAAUGUGGCUGUAGGUAUGGUGUGUGUCCAGGUCACAAACUCCCGGCGAUCCCGAGGGAAGACGUUCCAGGGAGCUGGGCACCUGCAAUCCGCAGUGAAGAACCACAGCCUCGGGGAUAUCCGACGUUGCAAAACAUCUGUAUUUACGCCGGGCUUAAAAGAAGGGAGAUCCCAUUUUGUGCACAGUUAAGGGACCCACAGCUGAGACCUACCUCGCCUGUGGCCAGAGCGACAAAAUUUUCCACAGUCUUGGGCACAACCUUUCCAAAGAGGCCAAUCACAAUUCUGCCAACAUCUUUGUCUCCGAUCCUCACAUCAAAGAAGACCUGCGUGUGGUUGAACCGGCAGAGCACAGGUACAAGAUCACCGUGUUUCGAGGAUUCCGGGCUGGAAUGCUUGAAAAGGCUACCGAGUCGAAGGGCAUUCUAUUAGCAAGUUUAGAUUAUAUGAACCAAUUUACGGUUUGAAUGGGUAAAAAACGACAUUCAAGAGAUGGCUUUAAAAAAAUGUAAGAAGGGUUGUCAGAGGAAAAAGAUGUCUUAUAGUUUAGAAAAAUCAUAAAGUAAAGACUGUGAAGCGUUAGUCCAAGACAAGAGCUUCUGCCAAUACAUCAGCACGUCUGUCACGGGGUGAUGUGAUAUUUAGUGUUCCGUGUGGCAUUUGAGAGUUUUUACGUGGCCACAGCAGCCAAAACUGUAUUAUUAUUUAUACGGCACAACUUUAUGGAAUGUAUAAGAGACCGGGCCCUUGAGAUGCGGCGAUGCACUUGAGGAGAACAAGUCAAUGGGGCUCAGGGACAGGAAGCUGCAUGAAUGUGCCACAAGCCCGGUCGUGCAGAGCCCACGUCGCAGAGAAGCCAUUUCUCCAAAGUGAUUUACAAGCCAACGAGAGAAUCAAUGACGGGCAGUAACGAACCAACAUCCGGAAAAGACUCAGGGACACAGUCUUCUAGGGACACCAUACAAGACGCUAGAAAAGCCUGCCAGACUUGUAAAAUAAAGAAAAGAAAAUAUCACCUUUGAGUGUUGAGACAGCACGAAGAAGAAAAUGUGGGAGGGCAGCAGAAGAUGAAGAGGGCUUGUCACCCAGCAAAACGCGUCAAUAAAAAAAUCUGACUUUCUUA
Neofelis nebulosa (Clouded leopard) is the source of this 1248-nucleotide long non-coding RNA. RefSeq lists it as uncharacterized. NCBI's taxonomy places the organism in Eukaryota, Metazoa, Chordata, Mammalia, Carnivora, Felidae. The record is from RefSeq and is a predicted model, not a curated record. The transcript has 3 exons.